GAGGUCUCCAAGCAUUUUCAAAGGAAGCUAACAUGGCAGAUUGAAAAAUUUCCCGUCUUGAGGCUUCAGUGACUAAGUUUGGAGCCAGCCAGAGGAAUCUCACCAUUAAAUGUCGAGUUGAAGUGAAACACAAUACAUCACCUUCCUCGUGGGCUGCCAUUCAGCCACGAGUAACAGAGAUUAGCCUUCAAUCACACGAGGGCUGGAGCUGAAGGAAACCUUCCCGAGGACACGCUGGAGAAACAUUUUCAUUAGCAGAGGAGAACAUGACGGAGAUGAAGUGGCCCUUCACCUCGGCUGCCAGACCUCUCGCCUGCCUGGUGUUAACAGGAAUGCUAACCAAGGAGCUGGGGCCAGCUGCAGUGCUCUGAGUGCUGUCUGCAUCCAGAUCUAGGGAAUUUGUUUGGAACAUCAGAACAAAUGGCUGCUGGUUUUGAUGCAUUCUCAUGUUAAGUUACCUCUCAUGUCGCCCUCCUCCAUUUCAGAACUGAGAGCAGCCAAAAUGAGAGGAAAACAUGGCUCCUGAGCAAUUUUUCCCCCUAUGAUGCCUUCACCUUUCUUGUAUUCCCUUUUCUCCUACGAUCUCAGCUGGCUGAGUUUCACUGCCAGCCUAUUGAAAGGAAAGGCACGUGCUGGCUUGUGGAGGGAGAGAGACCUGAGACAGGAUAAAUCUGUAUGCAAUGAGAAUGGGGGGAAGCAAGUCAGCUGCUCUGACACUUUUAUUAUGGAGCCAGGCUGCUUGGGGAUGAAUCUUUCUUGAAACGUGUUGCUGGAUGACAUUUCUGCCAGGUCUCAGCAGUAACCUUCACCAAGCCUUGCUGCCCAGCCCUGUGCUUGCCUUUUCCUGGGACAAAGAGAAUGAAUAUCCACUGGAAAUGCCACAGGCAGCAGGGAUCAGUGGGGCUUAAUGCACCUCCAGUGAGUCUGAAGGCACCUGGACUUUCUCAGCAGAAGCUCUUCAGGCUUUGGUGACUUCAGCUUAUUGCUGCAUGUGUUGUUUUGCAAAGGAGGUGUGGGCUCCUACAUCUGUUUCUCACUUCAGAAUCAAAGAUGAUGUGGCAGAGACCAAAAUGAAAUUCUCCUCAGAGCUGUCCAGAAGGAUGGAUAACUGCAAGAAAAUAUUAUUCCAUGGCUCUGGAAAAGGAAUAUCUACUUGCUUAGUAACCUGGAGGUGUGAGAAUCGCCUUUGGGAGCAGCGCUUCCUUCUGCUCCUGCUCUGCCUGACCAAGGAUCAGUUCUCUCUCAUCCAUCAUCAGGACACGGCAACAGCCUCCUCCUGCCACCAGCCAGCUGCACGCCUGCAACCAGGCGAGGAGGGAUCUGGAGCUGUGGAGCCACGAGGAAGGCGAGCGAUGGCAGAUUCCUCCGGCAUUUCCACCCCGCGGGGCUCUUGGCGAGCGAGCGCUCGUGUGCUUUGAAAGCUCUUAGUGCUCCUGCAGUUGUGGUGGCUCUUGGACCUACCAAAACCUGGCUGACUUGUUCCUGGUAUCAUGACACAGAAGUUGUUUGCAGCUCCAUAUCUGACUCCGUGGGCUCAAGCUCCAGCUAGAAAACCAAGGACUAAGCUGCUUUCUUGAGCACAGCCUCGUAGAGAAGCAUUUUCAGAAGAAACUCUUGCAAUUGCCACCUCCCUCUCAGCCUCUUCACUGGUUUCUGAGAGCUGCUGAGCAUCCUUGACCUCUCUCUCAGGCAUGGUUCCCUGCAUGUAUCAGCCCUGCUUCGGUGCUGUGGAGCUGUUGCUGGUGUCUGUAAUAGCUGCGUUGUUUACUUCCCAAGUGCCUGGCCUUUCUGUAAUGAGCUGUAAUUCAUCCUGGUUUAUACAGGCUCAGAUAUACCUGGAGCAAGGAGGGUGUGCCAUUAAACCACCUUCUAGACUGCUAUCUGGACCCUGGAUUGCUGAUCCCCUGGAGAUGUAAAACAGGGAGGACAAGGGGGAUCAGAUGGAAAUGGGGAAUAAUUACCUUGCAGGGCAAAGGGGGCUGGCUGGGUUGGAAACUGCUGGGAGCUGACAUGCAGGUGCAGAUGGAUGGUUACGGCAGGCAGGGCGGAGGGAUGAAAGAUGCCUUUUUAAAGCAUCUGCCUCCCUCUCUUCCUCUGCUUUAUAACCUGUUUUUAUAGAGACUGCAUGAGGAACACAUUUUAUUUUAUUAGCAGCUUGGGAGUGGAGAGUAAUAAAGAUUAAUUUUUUUAAAUAAUUCUUUGCA
This 2204-nucleotide long non-coding RNA is filed under the name Parus major (Great Tit). RNAcentral's name for it is "lncRNA (ENSPMJG00000018713.1)". Lineage: Eukaryota; Metazoa; Chordata; Aves; Passeriformes; Paridae. The record is from RNAcentral.